CCUUUGUCCUGGACAGUUCAACUUGUGCCUUGAACAGGAUGAAUCACAGAAUCAUAUAGAAUCAUAGAAUGGCCUGGGAUGAAAAGGACCACAAUGAUCAUCUAGUUUCAACCCCCCUGCUAUGUGCAGGGUCGCCAACCACUAGACCAGGCUGCCCAGAGCCACACCCAGCCUGGCCUUGAAUGUCUCCAGGGAUGGGGCAUCCACAACCUCCUUGGGAAACCUGUUCCAGUGUGUCACCACCCUCUGGGUGAAAAACUUCCUCCUAAUAUCUAACCUAAACCUCCCCUGAAACAUGGAGACUGGGAUCUUUAAUAUCUUUGGAAGAGUGCCAUCCUAGUAAUCCAUCCAUACUGUGAAGUUUUUUGGGGGGUCCUUUUGAAUGUGCUCCUUUUGCAUUUGUCUUUGCUAAAAAUACAACUUGGAGCAGACUAUAAAUGAGCAAAUCUUACAGCCACCUACAGAGCCAUCUAGGCUUUCCUGAGAAUUAACAGAAAGAGAUGGAAGAUCCCAUCCUGACUAAUUCUCUCCAUUUCUCCUAGGAAAGGAUGAAUUACUCUCAAGAGAUGCUUUCUUUAUCUCUGUGUCUUGGCAGAUACACCUAGGGGACAGUUUAGAUCUGUCUUGCUUCCAGGCUGCAAACACUCCAGGCAGGAGAGGAUUGAAUGCUGUGAGAAGCACCAUACCUCUGUUACAGGGACAGCCAACAGGAGCCCUGAUGUUCAAAAGAGCUGAGUCCACCUACAGGGCACUUUCAUUCCUUCGCCCUGUUGAAAAUCUCACUAUCUGCGUGCAUUGUCUAUCACUGUGUGACAUUGCUGAUCGAUCCUGCCUCUCUCGCCGACAUGAGGAUAAGGAAGCGUUUGUGUCCGUAGAGAUGGACAUUCAAUCACGCAUGAUUCAGAUGACCUUGGAAGUGUCACCUUAAGAAAACAAAUAAAUUACUCGUUGCCUAUCACAGAGGAUCUAGAGCCCCUCUGGAGAUGCUGACUGCUGGCAUUUCAAUGAGAAUUGAGGGCACUCAGAAUUAGUUAAUACUUUAUAGAAUUUACCUUGUGGGUCUUGAUAGAAAGCCUGUUAAAGUCAAUGGAAGGACUAAGCUUGUUCAGUGGACUCUUGAUCAGUUUGCUAGAGAGGAAUCCAUACAUACCUGGCAAAGGAACCAUGACAAAGAAAUGUCCUAUCUCUGACAGCCUCGUGUGUGAUGAUUUCUCUAUAUACAGUUGAAAACAAGGCCUGUAAAGGAACUACCCAUCCUAACCAUGUCUCUUGACUGAGACAUGCCUUUUUCUGCAUAUCUUUAGGUACCACACUUUAUGUUAGAAUUAACCUACACCUGGUGCUUCUGUGCCAGUCACCGUGCGUGGAAAUUUGAUAGGAUUUGAUGCUGACUAGUGGUGUGAACUGAGCCCAUGUUAUCUCUUUCUGGGAUCAAGAAGAAUUAAGUACCAUCCAGGUUGUGCUUACUGCGCUGCAGCCGGAAAUCAACACCCACACAUACUGGGGAAGAAUGAG
Long non-coding RNA from Gallus gallus (chicken), 1515 nucleotides. The record is from Ensembl. Lineage: Eukaryota; Metazoa; Chordata; Aves; Galliformes; Phasianidae.